This 232-nucleotide ribosomal RNA is filed under the name uncultured bacterium. RNAcentral describes it as "partial 16S ribosomal RNA". It matches the Rfam family "Bacterial small subunit ribosomal RNA", at positions 524 to 753 of the family's 1533-position model. The record is from RNAcentral.
UACGAAGGGGGCGAGCGUUGUUCGGAAUUACUGGGCGUAAAGGGCGCGCAGGCGGUUCUUCAAGUCAGAUGUGAAAGCCCCGGGCUCAACCUGGGAAUAGCAUUUGGGACUGGGGAACUAGAGUUCGGGAGAGGUGGGUGGAAUUCCCAGUGUAGAGGUGAAAUUCGUAGAUAUUGGGUGGAACACCGGUGGCGAAGGCGGCCAUCUGGGCAACAACGUGACGCGUGAGGCG